CCUCUCCGGCAACCUCCAGCCUCACCUCUCGCGACCACCAGCCGACGUGAAACCUUGUCUUGUUGAUUCCCUCUAUCUUCAAGAUCCCAGAAGCCUCCACCAUACAAGAUGGUGAUUGGGAGAUUUUCCUGGGUUUUCUCCGACCGUUCUCCGAUGUAUUUUGGUCCGAUGGUAGUACGAACGCCAUUAUUGAUGAUUUCACAGCCCGAUUUCUUACCUCUCACUGGUUUCUUACGAAACCCUAAUUUCUACCUAGACCUCUUAAAUCCCUGUCUUUCUAACGAUUUUUAACUUACUCUUUUGUGAUUUAUACUACUCUCUACUCGAUCUUUAUGAUUGCUCAAGUUUUUAAUAUUUUGUUCUUCUUUUUAAAACUAGGGUUUCUGAACCUCUUUCGAAAUAACUGUAUCUUCUGAUUUUUUUCUAGUACUAUAUGUUUGUGUUUGUAUUUCUGCUUGUUUGUGUGAUCUUCUGGGUUAUUCCCCAAUUUCUAUACUUUAAUUUUGUUCUAACGUUCCACUGAUUCUGUGAUUUUUUACUUAGGG
RNAcentral lists this long non-coding RNA (545 nucleotides) under Nicotiana benthamiana. Its description in RNAcentral is "long non-coding RNA (NBEN_LNC020933)". Lineage: Eukaryota; Viridiplantae; Streptophyta; Magnoliopsida; Solanales; Solanaceae. The record is from RNAcentral.